Molecule: ribosomal RNA, 289 nt
Filed under: uncultured Phenylobacterium sp.
Lineage: Bacteria; Pseudomonadati; Pseudomonadota; Alphaproteobacteria; Caulobacterales; Caulobacteraceae
Description: partial 16S ribosomal RNA
Source: RNAcentral
CUACCGGGGUUUCUAAUCCUGUUUGCUCCCCACGCUUUCGCGCCUCAGCGUCAGUAUCGGGCCAGUGAGUCGCCUUCGCCACUGGUGUUCCGCCGAAUAUCUACGAAUUUCACCUCUACACUCGGCAUUCCACUCACCUCUCCCGAACUCAAGACAUCCAGUAUUAAAGGCUAUUCCAGGGUUGAGCCCUGGGCUUUCACCUCUAACUUAAAUGUCCGCCUACGCGCCCUUUACGCCCAGUAAUUCCGAGCAACGCUAGCCCCCUUCGUAUUACCGCGGCUGCUGGCAC